UUACUGAGUUACCGCUCUACAACCCUUUGUGAACAUACCUAACCGUUGCUUCGGCGGGCAGGGGAAGCCUCUCGCGGGCCUCCCCUCCCGGCGCCGGCCCCACCACGGGGACGGGGCGCCCGCCGGAGGAAACCAAACUCUAUUUACACGACGUCUCUUCUGAGUGGCACAAGCAAAUAAUUAAAACUUUUAACAACGGAUCUCUUGGUUCUGGCAUCGAUGAAGAACGCAGCGAAAUGCGAUAAGUAAUGUGAAUUGCAGAAUUCAGUGAAUCAUCGAAUCUUUGAACGCACAUUGCGCUCGCCAGCAUUCUGGCGAGCAUGCCUGUUCGAGCGUCAUUUCAACCCUCAAGCACCGCUUGGUUUUGGGGCCCCACGGCAGACGUGGGCCCUUAAAGGUAGUGGCGGACCCUCCCGGAGCCUCCUUUGCGUAGUAACUAACGUCUCGCACUGGGAUCCGGAGGGACUCUUGCCGUAAAACCCCCAAAUUCUUUACAGGUUGACCUCGGAUCAGGUAGGAAUACCCGCUGAACUUAAGCAUAUCAAUAA
Molecule: unclassified non-coding RNA, 548 nt
Filed under: Colletotrichum acutatum
Lineage: Eukaryota; Fungi; Ascomycota; Sordariomycetes; Glomerellales; Glomerellaceae
Description: sequence contains ITS1, 5.8S rRNA gene and ITS2
Rfam family: 5.8S ribosomal RNA (bases 185-338)
Source: RNAcentral